CCUACGGGAGGCAGCAGUGAGGAAUAUUGGUCAAUGGGCGCGAGCCUGAACCAGCCAAGUCGCGUGAGGGAAGACGGUCCUAUGGAUUGUAAACCUCUUUUGUCGGGGAGCAAAAGACGCCACGCGUGGCGUUCCGCGAGUACCCGAAGAAUAAGCAUCGGCUAACUCGGUGCCAGCAGCCGCGGUAAUACGGAGGAUGCUAGCGUUAUCCGGAUUUAUUGGGUUAAAGGGGUUCGCAGGCGGAAGAUCAAGUCAGCGGUAAAAUUGAGAGGCUCAACCUCUUCGAGCCGUUGAAACUGGUUUUCUUGAGUGAGUGAGAAGUAUGCGGAAUGCGUGGUGUAGCGGUGAAAUGCAUAGAUAUCACGCAGAACUCCGAUUGCGAAGGCAGCAUACCGGCGCUCAACUGACGCUCAUGCACGAAAGUGUGGGUAUCGAACAGGAUUAGAUACCCCUGUAGUC
This 459-nucleotide ribosomal RNA is filed under the name uncultured bacterium. RNAcentral describes it as "partial 16S ribosomal RNA". It matches the Rfam family "Bacterial small subunit ribosomal RNA", at positions 338 to 795 of the family's 1533-position model. The record is from RNAcentral.